This 447-nucleotide ribosomal RNA is filed under the name uncultured Entomoplasma sp. RNAcentral's name for it is "bacterial SSU rRNA". It matches the Rfam family "Bacterial small subunit ribosomal RNA", at positions 28 to 474 of the family's 1533-position model. Lineage: Bacteria; Bacillati; Mycoplasmatota; Mollicutes; Entomoplasmatales; Entomoplasmataceae. The record is from RNAcentral.
GAUAAACGCUGGCGGCAUGCCUAAUACAUGCAAGUCGAACGAAGGUACUUGUACCUUAGUGGCGAACGGGUGUGUAACACGUAUCUAAUCUACCUUUUAGUGGGGGAUAGCCUUUGGAAACGAAGGGUAAUACCGCAUGAGAUCACCAUUAUGACAUCAGAAGGUGAGGAAAGGUCCGCUUGGACCGCUAAAAGAUGAGGAUGCGGCGUAUAGCUAGUAGGUGAGAUAAAAGCCCACCUAGGCAAUGAUACGUAGCCGAACUGAGAGGUUGAUCGGCACAUUGGGACUGAGAUACGGCCAGACUCCUACGGGAGGCAGCAGUAGGGAAUUUUUCACAAUGGACGAAAGUCUGAUGAAGCAAUGCCGCGUGAGUGAUGAAGGUCUUCGGAUUGUAAAACUCUGUUGUAGGGGAAGAAAUGACAGAAGAGGAAAUGCUUUUGUUUGACG